CCCACCCCGCGGUGAGCUGAACGGCAGCUUUGUUUUCUCCAACAAUAACUCAAGAGGAGGGCACAAUAGCAAAGUGAUUCCCUGGAGGGUUUGUAAUGCUUGCAGAAAUCAGGCGGCGCAGCUCGACGCAGCUGGAGUUUCCGCGCACACGUGGGUUACUCACCAGAAAACAGAAAGAGAAGAAGGUAAGCAAAGCACAGCACAGUCGGACGAUGACCUCAGGGACACCACUCGUGUGUUACAGAACCAAAAUCUUUCCGGUUUGCUUUGCAAGAAAAAUGAUCAACCGCUAGAAAUGGCCGCAUCGCUGCCAGCAGGCAAUUCACCUGGUGUUUGUCACAGCACCUGCCACCAAGUGACCUCAAAACAAUA
Lagopus leucura (white-tailed ptarmigan) is the source of this 372-nucleotide long non-coding RNA. RefSeq lists it as uncharacterized. The transcript has 3 exons. The record is from RefSeq and is a predicted model, not a curated record. NCBI's taxonomy places the organism in Eukaryota, Metazoa, Chordata, Aves, Galliformes, Phasianidae.